GGGUCUGUGGCGCAGCUGGUAGCGCACCUGCAUGGCAUGCAGGGGGGGUCAGGGGUUCGAGUCCCCCUCAGAUCCACCA
RNAcentral lists this transfer RNA (79 nucleotides) under Curtobacterium sp. MCJR17_043. RNAcentral describes it as "tRNA-Ala". It matches the Rfam family "tRNA". From Rfam's summary of the family: Transfer RNA (tRNA) molecules are approximately 80 nucleotides in length. The record is from RNAcentral. Lineage: Bacteria; Bacillati; Actinomycetota; Actinomycetes; Micrococcales; Microbacteriaceae.